This 321-nucleotide ribosomal RNA is filed under the name Triticum aestivum (bread wheat). Its description in RNAcentral is "partial small subunit ribosomal RNA". Lineage: Eukaryota; Viridiplantae; Streptophyta; Magnoliopsida; Poales; Poaceae. The record is from RNAcentral.
AUGGCCAGCUACCCAAUAUAUCGUCCAGAUGCUAGAGGGAUAGCGUCACCGCUGCGCACGAUUUUGAGGUGGCCAAUUAGCAGUUGUUGGAUGGCAUCUGGUCGGCAAGCACCUUCCCUCAAGUUUCCGCCUCGCUUAGCAUCCGCCCACUUCCCCAGCCAACCCAGCCGCCCCCUCCAUGCCGAACCCUGUGCUGGUGGUGGACAAAGUUUGCAAGAGGAACUUGAUUUUUUAGCUUUAUUUGUUUCUUAUACAGGUGAUGCUUUUCUAUAUUAUGGAUGGAUUCUUGAUAGCCAUCAUAGAUUACUGCCAAGUAGAUAA